RNAcentral lists this unclassified non-coding RNA (455 nucleotides) under Hevea brasiliensis (rubber tree). Lineage: Eukaryota; Viridiplantae; Streptophyta; Magnoliopsida; Malpighiales; Euphorbiaceae. The record is from RNAcentral.
AAAAAAAAAAAAAAAAGGAGAAGAGGAUAUAAUCUAUGAAAAAUUAGCCAUAUAAACAAGGAAUACAUGUAUCUGUUAACUAAUAUUAGGUUGCGAAUGCAUGGUGCUCAAUAACAAAGUGUUCAACAAUAAGAACCAGUGUCCUGUUAUUUUUUAGCCUAGGUUAAUGCACCAUCUCUAUUUAAUUGAUACUUGAUCCUUCACAGAAAUCCAGUUUAAUGGACAUACUCCUUGUCACACAUCUCAUCACCAUCAUCAUAGACUUAAAACCAAAGGUCAGAUAAUCCCACUUCAAAGAGCCAGAAUCACUCGCCAAAUAAGUAAAAAUAAAAGAAACAAUAAGAGGAAUAAACUUUGACCAAAACUAAUGCUUUGUAUUAGCAAGCCAAUGAAUAACAGUGUUAUAUUAUCAUGAUAAACAAAAUUCGGUACCUUUCAUCUCCCCCUUGGGAUUC